This 274-nucleotide ribosomal RNA is filed under the name uncultured bacterium. Its description in RNAcentral is "partial 16S ribosomal RNA". It matches the Rfam family "Bacterial small subunit ribosomal RNA", at positions 523 to 796 of the family's 1533-position model. The record is from RNAcentral.
AGACGGAAGAGGCGAGCGUUGUGCGGAAUCACUGGGCUUAAAGCGCGUGUAGGCGGCCUCGCAAGUACCUUGUGAAAUCCCUCGGCUCAACCGAGGAAUGGCUGGGUAUACUGCGGGGCUUGAGGCAGGUAGAGGUGCCUGGAACUCUAGGUGGAGCGGUGAAAUGCGUAGAUAUCUAGAGGAACGCCCGUGGCGAAAGCGGGGCACUGGGCCUGUCCUGACGCUGAGACGCGAAAGCGUAGGUAGCAAACGGGAUUAGAUACCCCGGUAGUCC